Molecule: ribosomal RNA, 315 nt
Filed under: Triticum aestivum (bread wheat)
Lineage: Eukaryota; Viridiplantae; Streptophyta; Magnoliopsida; Poales; Poaceae
Description: partial small subunit ribosomal RNA
Source: RNAcentral
AUGGACGCCGCCGACGAGCUGAAGCGUGCACGCGGCGGCGGCGGCAAGCAAUCCGUGGACCGGCUGAGCGCCCUGCCGGACGACCUCCUGCACGCCGUCCUUUCGCGCCUCAAGGCCCGUCAGGUGGUGCGGACGUGCGUGCUGUCCACGCGGUGGAGGCACCUCUGGCGCUCCGUGCCGUGCCUCCGCAUCGACCAGCGACGGCUUCCUCCUCAAGCGGCAAAGAUUCAAGAACUUUGCUCACAUCGCUCACUGAAAUCAUAUACCCGAAGUAUGACAAUCAUCAUGUCCACCUAUUGGUCAUGUUUUUGUUAG